AGGUGUUCGCGCACCGCAGUGGAUACAGGUAUGCCAGUUGCGUAUUGCCAGCCUCAUGUUUAUCAUGACGGUGGUCUUCGUAAAGCGCCCGUCAGGCAGACAACGCGCUCCUCCACCCCCCUCCCCCUAAAAAAAAAGUGAGAACGGCGAAGAUCAGCGCUGCUUUCGCGUGCGCGCGCACACACACAUACACAGACUGUCCGAUGAAAUCGAGACAUGCAUAGCUACGCAAGAGGGCUCGUUGAAACCUCCACGGAACACCCCAAGCGCAUCCCUGUCCCCUUUUUUGGCGUUAACAGCGCCGUGGCGCUAGACGCCGUCGCCUCAGCGGCGGUGGCCACGGCGUCGUUGGCGUCGCGCCUUCGUCGACUCCACUGGAAUGAGGUGAUAAGCCUCGUCCUCGACAGCGAUCCCUACUAUCACUGCAAGGAGGAAGCGGCUGUUGUGGCGGAGACCAACGAUGCGGCGUCGUUGCCUUCGCCGCCGCAGUAGCAGCAGCAUCCACCUCGUGGUUUACGCCUGUGCGGCAGAGCCUGCCCCGUUACGUGUUGUCUUCGAGCAAGACUCGCCUGCUAGUGCACGCCGGGGCGCUGAGCUACUUCGCCUACAUCGCCACCAACCUGCCCCGCCAUGUGCCGUGCUACUUGACCGUUGAGGGUGCCACCGGCUCCCCAUCGCAGCAGGGGGCUUCUGCCGCGACUUCAACGAUGACCUGCUUCGUCUACGAGAGCGCCGAGGGCAUGCAGCUUUUCAUGCAUGACGAGAUGCCGCGCUGGAACGCUCUCGCCCACGCGGCGGUGGGCACAACGCUGCUGUCACUCGUCAUCGCGCAAGCGGAGUCGGUUUGGUGCAUACGCUUCUCCCGCCGCCGCCAUCGCAGCAACCAGCGCAGCGACACGCCAACAGCCAAGAGGCGAGGAGUGGAGCUAGCUGGCAAGCACAGCCGCCGCCGACGGCCGAGCCAGAGCGUACUGCUGCCGAGCACGGCCGACACCAGGCGCGGCGUCAUGCCCUACUCGCCUUUGCUGCCAUCACGUGCGUCGGCUGCAUGGUCGCCAGCAGCGUGUCGCUGCGAUCGCACAGCGUGUUCUCCUCCCGUGUGGCGAGCAGGCGCGCCGGUGUGCCAAACUUCGCGUCUGCCAUGUCUGUCUUUGCAGCUCCGUGGGACGGGCUGGCGCCGGCAACCGGCAUUUCCGGCACGCAGGCGGCGUGUGUCGCGCACGCGAUGGUUGGAGGGCUACUCUUCAAGGCCGUCCUCGCUGUCCUGCUCGAGCGCGUGCUUUUGGCAGCAUCUGCCAGAGCCUCGCCGGGGUCAAGGUAGUGCUGCCGCCGCCGCGGUGGUUGAACGCGAAGGAGUCCUUUAGCGACGCCCGCGUGCCCGUCACGCGGCACGUCGAGGCGGAGCUGGAGACCAUGUACUACCGCAGCGUGGCGGCCACCGCGAUCUUGCUUGACAGCUGGGGUGCGGUGGACAUUGGUCGCGCUGUGCGGCUAGCGAACGCGUGGUUGGCGGCGACGGACGGCGGCGCUGAAGAAGGGCAGAAGACGCGGCACCCGCACUUGGAAGGGAUCGCCGCGCUGUGGGCGUUUCCGUCGCCUCCGAUGGCAAGGAUCUGUGUCGAAGGGGGGCGGGCGGGCGGGCGCCCGGCCAUUUUUGUGUGCUUGCUUCUCCAGUUUGGCUGCAAGACGAAGCCUGCGGUGAGGCAUGAAGGCGGAACACGAAGGGACGGUGGGUGCCCGCCAAUGUCGCGCGCGUCCUCUCUUUUAUGGUACCCUGAUGAUCCCUGUACUACGCCCGCCCCUCUCGGUGGCACAAGGGAGGGGAGCGGAGGGAGGCAGCGAGUAGGAAGGGGAGGGAGCCCUCAUCAUCGCAUCACAUGUAUUCCUUCGGCGCCCCCUCGUUCUUCUUCGCACGGCGUAUGUGUCUUGGAGAGAUGGACGGCGUCUGCAGCGCACGUCUGUUCCGUCGGCUCAUGUCCGCAGUUCUGCUCGUUUGACUUUUACGCGACAGACCCCCGCAGCUCUCCUCUCCCGCCUACUGCUUGAACUCUCUUCCUGUCAUUUUCUGACCGCAUCAUCGCCGUCGUCAGAGCGCCCGCCGCUCAUGAGGAGGCGGCGACGCGUCCACAUGCACCGGCGGAGCACACAGACGAAGCCCAACGACAU
RNAcentral lists this unclassified non-coding RNA (2166 nucleotides) under Leishmania donovani. Its description in RNAcentral is "gene:LdHU3.03.0460(CDS-product:hypothetical_prote in)". Lineage: Eukaryota; Euglenozoa; Kinetoplastea; Trypanosomatida; Trypanosomatidae. The record is from RNAcentral.